AUUGAACGCUGGCGGCAGGCCUAACACAUGCAGGUCGAGCGGAUGAAGGGAGCUUGCUCCUGGAUUCAGCGGCGGACGGGUGAGUAAUGCCUAGGAAUCUGCCUGGUAGUGGGGGAUAACGUCCGGAAACGGGCGCUAAUACCGCAUACGUCCUGAGGGAGAAAGUGGGGGAUCUUCGGACCUCACGCUAUCAGAUGAGCCUAGGUCGGAUUAGCUAGUUGGUGGGGUAAAGGCCUACCAAGGCGACGAUCCGUAACUGGUCUGAGAGGAUGAUCAGUCACACUGGAACUGAGACACGGUCCAGACUCCUACGGGAGGCAGCAGUGGGGAAUAUUGGACAAUGGGCGAAAGCCUGAUCCAGCCAUGCCGCGUGUGUGAAGAAGGUCUUCGGAUUGUAAAGCACUUUAAGUUGGGAGGAAGGGCAGUAAGUUAAUACCUUGCUGUUUUGACGUUACCAACAGAAUAAGCACCGGCUAACUUCG
RNAcentral lists this ribosomal RNA (482 nucleotides) under uncultured bacterium. RNAcentral's name for it is "partial 16S ribosomal RNA". It matches the Rfam family "Bacterial small subunit ribosomal RNA", at positions 30 to 505 of the family's 1533-position model. The record is from RNAcentral.